GAUCGGGGGUUAGCGUGUAUAGGGGAGCAGCAGCCGCAGCGCGCAGCGGUGCCUCAACCCAACCCCAACCCCGCCGCCGCCCCAAUCCCACCACCGGCGGCCUCCUCCUCCCCUAACACUGCCGCUCCAGCCCCUCACCUUCCUCGGCCGAUUUAGCGCCGUCGCCGCCCCUCAGCAUGCAACCUCUCCUCUCCUCCGCGGCUCCGCCUCUUCCUCCGGUGGCAUCCAACCCAAUCGUCAUCUCCUACUCCCCUCUCUUAUUCCCCUGUGCCUCGAUGAGGUGGGCCAAGCCGGCGCACGCAGCAAAGUGCGGCUGCGGAUGCAGCUCGGACGCGGGUGCGCGGAGGUGGAGGCGGAGCUGCGGCGGCUGGUGGUGGAUGGGAAUCCCGCCGACCGCGUCCCUCCCCAAACUGCAGCGAUGAUGGAGGGAGCCGCCAGCGCCGGCCAGCUACCGACCGACGGGCUCGCCGGGUCGCCGUUCCUCGGGGGCACCCCCUCUCCCCGUGCCAGAUCGUGCAUCGGCUUGGAGGCCCCUCUGGGCUGCCGCCGGUACGGGAGGCGUCCGCGGCCGUGCGGACUGGGGACCGAGCGGUGGGGCUCGUGGUGCGUUUCGGUCGAGGGCUUGCUCGAUCUGGCACGCGAUCUGAGCCCCCGUCGAUGGAUUUCUCGCAGCUCAGCUGCAUUUUGUUUUGGAUUCAGUACGACCCACAUCUCUCUCGCACACACACAUGUUGCGGCCGAAAUCACUGUUUUGGCUCAUUUGGAAAAGUUCAGCACAAAAUGAACCAUGUUGGAAACAUAUCUGGGGCGAUGAUGAUAAAACAUGGCUGACAUAAACAUGUGUUUGAUUAUUCGAGGACCUGUGGGCAUAAAAAACCCACUCCCUCCUCUUUUGGAACCUUUUCAUUCUCGCUGAAUAUUGACGGCUCUCUCUUGGAUGGUCACUCUUUGAGUGAUAACCAGAGGAGCUCGACUUCAGUGGUGGGGAUUGAUCUGGUGCAAGAAGAUGGUGGAGUCGUGGAGCUAGGUUGUAUGAUCUAUCAAAGGCGAAUCUGCGCCCUCUCAAAUCUCAAUGCAACUAAUAUUGUGGCCUCUACACAUAUAUUUACCCCUUUUAUGUUUAAAAGUGAUGAAUUGUUGUGGUUGUGGCAUCUGCUAUCUCAUUAAGAGCAGCUACGCACAUAUGACAUAUCACCUCUCGUGGUGUUUGGUUUGCCUUCUCAUGAUUUUGUUGUCCAUGGUGGGAACCAGUUUGGUGCAUUCAGACUUUUUCUUUUUCUGUUUUUACUUUUCCUUGAAUGGAUGUGAUCAUUCUGCUGUCCCUUGGAUAGUUUAUUUUAGGUUAUUUUAUCGGGUUUGGGUCAGUUUGCUUGUUUCAAUUGUUGUUUUACUUUUUAUAAUAUCUUCUACUAUACUAUUUAUCUACUUAUCAGUUUGUACUUUUGGUUACUCCCCACUUCUUUACUGGUUUCAACUUAUGGGUCAUAUAGGGAAAGUUCAGAUGUCAAGAUAACGCUUUCCUUCCUGUCAUGUUCAUGAAUGGCUAUGAUGAUAUAGCUUUCCUGCAUCGAUCUAACAUCUGUUUGGAUUUUGUAUAUUGAGCAUUUAGGAGGUUGUUCUGGAUUGAUGCGCUUUGUAGUGGCAGAAUUCAUGUUUAAUUUAUUGCAGGAUAUGAAAUUGAGAGGCUGAUGUAAAUUCGUUUGUGUGUAGAUUUUGUCAGUUCUAGGAUUGGAUGUUUAUUUAGUCUCUCUGUCUCUCCUGGAGGUUAGCAGAUUGAUGGAUUUGACUGCUGAUCCCUUUGUGUUGGCUGAUGGUGUUGAGAUAGAAAUAAGGAUUAAACAUGAUCCUGAUGCUGAGGCAAUAUUCCAAUAUCAUUAGAGGGCCAGUGUUCUUCCAAAGAUGAUUUAGAAUCUCAAAAAUGUUUCUUACGUAGUCAGGAAUUUGGGUUCAUGGUUGAAGUAACAAAUACAUAUGCAGCUUCUUGGUUCUGUUGUUUCCAAUUCCUUUUUUAGGUAUAUUUACAACCUUUGUUGUUCCAUAUAGUUUGUUUCUUAAAUAUCCUAAACAUAUAUUAUCGAAUACACUCACUUUCCUGUUUUUGUGAUAAAAUGAAAAGAAUAAUGUACAUGUUAAGGACAUGAUAAAUCUUCUUUCAAUUUGGUUAUGAUUUUAGAAUGCUCACAUAUAUUUUCUGUGUUGCAUCACCCCAUGGUCUGUGAUAGUGUCCAACUAGGGAUUUGAAUGUCAGGACCUAGCUAAAACUAUGAUGUUAUCAGGUUAAUAAAUAACACAGUACUUUUUAGCUAUUAGGUUCUAUGAGUAUGGCCGGGGUGAAUCCUUCAACUUUGCUCAUAGGCACUGAAAGAAUAAAUAAUUGAUCUUUCAUUUCUUCAUGAAAAAUAUGUCAUUUUGUUUUUAAAGAAAAGUUUAGUAGAACACUGCUAGCUAUAAUUCCCCAUGUGUCUUGGCAUUUUAGGUGGAGUGGGAACCUUUAAGAGGAAGUAUCAAGCGGCACAAGCACCUAUGGUAGAAUGAUGUGUUGAUAGUGUACCUAAUCCACCUGUAUUAACAAUGCAUAUGAUUUUUAAACUCAAGAUUAUAUUAUCAGCUGCAAUCUCUGUUCCCUUUUAAACUCAAGACUUUUAAACAAGAUCAUAUACAUUGUGAACCAAUCAACCAAACAUAGUUGAGUAUACAGUUUAAUUCUGCAAUUUGUUCUACUAGACAAAUUACUACUGUAUUGAAUCCUUGCUGUGGUGUGCUAAAUUGUUUCCUUAUGUUUGUACCUGCCAGUUCUAAGCACCUAUUCUUUUCUUCUUAUUUUGUAUCUAUACAUAACAAUUCUAUAUUUCUUACCUCUGCAAUUAUACGACCUGUAGCUUAUUCACAUGGAUCUUAAGGUACUAAACUUCCAAAUUAGAACCUGGCCUAAAUUUGAGAUUUCCCGAAUGUAUACUUUUGUUUUUCUUUCAUUCUUUGGAGGUGAUCUGUUGGUUGCUUAAUGCUCUUUACUGCAUGAGUAAAUUUCUUUUUCUUUAUUUCUAAAGUCAGUUUUAUUUUCUUCGUGAAGGUUUCCUGACGCAAAUAUGUAGUGAAAGCGGUUUGAGAAAAGAAGCAAAUCGUUCGAGCCAACCUAUUUAUAUGGUGUGGAGAAUAUAAGGUUCUUGACUUAUUGAUAUCAUCUAGUCAUUUUUAUAGGUGCCUGACUACAUAAUGAACUUUCUAGCUGUGUUGAUGGCAACAAGAAGAAAAGCUUCUUUGACCAGGUUUGCUAACUUAAUUCAAGCUAUCCUGGUGGACUGACAUCAUACAUCCAGAAUGCCAAAAGGCUUUUGGUAGAUUGCAAGGCAGGAUAAAAUCCAUACGAUGGUUCCACACCUUCAGAUAUGUAACAACCUUCAGUUCACAUGAUCUGAAAUAGCUCGGUGAACUUUCUUCCCACAUCAUGUUAGAAUUCUAUAUGGAGUUAUCUUGGCAUAUUAUUUAAUAGUAAUAAAGGCAAAAGAGAAAUUUUCAUGUCUGGGUACAUUUUAAUUUCAGUUACCACUACUAUGUUGCAAAUGAUAAUGGAUGCUGCCUUUUCCAAAGUACAACAAAGAUUUGGAAUUAUUACACAAGGACAUCACCAAAGCAAGUGUUCCUUAUUUAAAGAUUUCUUCAGCUCAAAAUGUUGUUGUACUACUAUGUCUUUUUGAACUGAAAAGUUUCCAGAUCCCAACUUUUCCUUUUUUAAAGAUUUCUUCGGAUCAAAUUGUUGUUGUACUACUAUGUCUUUUUUAACUGAAAAGUUUCCAGAUCGCAAGUUUUCCUUAUUUAAAGAUUUCUUUAGCUCAAAAUGUUACUGUACUACUAUGUCUUUUUGAACUGAACAGUUUCUAGAUCACUAAGGAUUGUCCUCUUCUUUGUUUAGAGAACUCGACAUUCAAACCUCGCUGGCGCUGGGCUAGAUGGGCUUGCUGGUAUUUUAUAGUCUGGUCAUAAGCAGAUUUGUUAUCUUCAAGUAAAGCUAAAUAUGAGUCACACCAACUUCCUUUAGUUCUUGAGAUUUUUUUGUUGUCCUUUGGAUUAACAAUCUGCCACAUUGCUCAUGGCUCUUGCAUUCACUCAAGAAUCAGGGCAAAGUGUGGAAUGACAACUGUUUUCAGAAGCAAAAAACUUGAAUUGGGAAUGGAACCCUUGAUGGAUUGAUGUUUGCUGAAGAAAGUCCUUGCAGCAAAGAAGAACAUGAAGCAGUCCAACCAACUGCUCCGAGAGGAACCAAGGCGACAUGCAAGUUGGCGUCUAUGAAGCUUUGUCGGAGCCAUUCCUGCUCUUCCAGAGCCACAAGGAGAGCCUAAAAGUCAGGGCAGAAACGUGUCCGGCUGUCGUACAAGAAGAAGUGUGCACGCCUGAGGAGCCAGGGCGCCAAUGGUGCGGAGUCGUUCGCCAUCAAGAGGACCAAAGCUGCCAUCAGUGACCACCGGAUCAAGCUCAACAUCUCCCUCACCUCUGUCAACGCCCUGUCCCAGAGGGUCGUCGCCGUCCACGAUGAGCCCGCAGCUCGCGGAGCUCAUCCAAAUGCGGGCAAGGAUGUGGCGACUCAUCGGCGACGUGCACCGGGUGAUGUAGUGCAUAGCGGACAAGGCGAGCGUGCUCCUCUCGUUGUCGGCCACAUGGUUGGAGGGAGGCAUCAAGGGCUCGCUACUACCGGGGCGGACACAUGCACAAUUUAUAUUGAUAUAUCUUAUUUUGCCAAACAGCAAGAUAUAUGCUCCUGAUGCUAUUAACCUGACAUGGAAUUUCAGUUUCUUUCACAUGAUACAUCAAUAAAUAUAUAGAGAUCCAGAUGUGUUGCA
Molecule: long non-coding RNA, 4835 nt
Organism: Triticum aestivum (bread wheat)
Lineage: Eukaryota; Viridiplantae; Streptophyta; Magnoliopsida; Poales; Poaceae
Exons: 7
Source: RefSeq, a predicted model, not a curated record